GUGGGAGAGGAGAGGAGGGGGCCACAAGGAGGGGGCAUUAGGGAGAGAUUGGGGGGGGUUGACAAUGAACUUGAGACAAACUUCAUUAGCAUGCAGGCCUGCUGUCUGUCAAGUUGAGCCCCGGCCGAGUUCCCAUGCAGGCCAAGGAGGGAGGGAGGGAGAAAGGGGGAGGGGCUGAGGAGGUAGGGGAGAAAGAGAGAAAAGAGACCGGCCCAUUGUACCAUUCUGGUCCCCAGCUUCCACCAAGCACUGGGACCCCAGCCCUGGAAACCAACCCCCAAAGCUCCCUCCCUCCUACAAGAGCAAGAUAAUUUAUCUUCCACUUUGAAUAUGUGGCCCCACUUCUUGUCUAGACUUUUUCCCUUCUAGUCUGUGCACACCACACACACCCCCACACACAUAUACAAGCCAGAGAGGAUUUGGAUGAAAAUUUAUUUUCCCCCUUUCUUCCUACCCAGCUUACUUCUCUCUUAUUCCCUGCCCUCCCUUCCAUAAUAAAGAUCUGAAUACCAAGGGGAAGCCCCCAAAUCUCCAAAGCACCUCCAUCCCCAUGGCCCUUCCUCCACUCAAAAGCACCACCACAUUUUCAUCUCUUGUCUGUUGUGAAUAAAAAAAAUUAAAGAGGACCCUGGACGUGGGAGGCAGAAGCAGAGUAGGUGCCCUUCAUCUGACUAUUUUUACAUUGGCAGGCGAGUGUUGGAGGAAACAAUAGCUGGGUUGUUGUGCCCCCCCCCCAUCUUCUUGCCUCAGGUUGGAAAGGGCUGUGUUGGGGUGGGGUGGUAAGGGGGAUCAGGGUGGAGGUGACACUCAUCUCUUCUCGCCCAUGCAGUGGAAAGGAGGAGAAAGGGGUUUCAAAGAGGCAGAGUGGGGUGGGCUUUCAUUUUUUAAGGGGUGGGGAGGUUUUCAGGCAGGGGCAGCACCCCCUUUUUGCUGUCUGCCAAGGAGAGCUGCAAGAGAAAGAAAGAGAGGGUAGCGAAAUUCCUGAAUGGAUAGACAGAUGCUACGUCAUCAAGGCUGCAGCCUCUACUCCACAAGAGGCUAGGAGCUGGGGGGGAGAGAGGCAGACCAGCCGUGGGGGCCGAGGAGACAGACACCUCCUCUUCACAGGAACUGGGGGACCAACACCCAGAUGAAGCAACAACAUUUGUUUCUGGUACCAUUGUAGGCGGCUCUCCAGCUGGACCCAAAAGUGGACAUGAUGGGCGAUGUACCAGGGACAUUCAUGGGGAGAAACCAUAUCUCAUUUGGCCUCUAUCUUUCUUAAGCAGCCAUCCAGGAUUGACCAGAGGAUGGACGACACAGCCACUGAAGCCCAAAGAGAUCUUGUCACCCUAGCAGCUAACAUCUGUCCUCCUCCAGGAAGCCUCCUCCAGGAUUCCUAGAACACCAACCUUUGAAUUGUCCAGCUCUUGUCUGGAAUAGAAGGACUUGAAAAGCACACAUUGUCCAACUCUGUGAUUUUACAGCAAAAAAGCUCCACAGGGGCAGGGACUGAAUC
Long non-coding RNA from Monodelphis domestica (gray short-tailed opossum), 1498 nucleotides. Lineage: Eukaryota; Metazoa; Chordata; Mammalia; Didelphimorphia; Didelphidae. The record is from Ensembl.